Long non-coding RNA from Myodes glareolus (Bank vole), 511 nucleotides. RefSeq lists it as uncharacterized. The record is from RefSeq and is a predicted model, not a curated record. Lineage: Eukaryota; Metazoa; Chordata; Mammalia; Rodentia; Cricetidae.
GGUGGGCGUGUCUGGGCGGGGCUAAUGCCUGGAUGCCCCGCCCAGGCCCUUCUACUCAUUAGCGCCAAGGCGACGUUUACUACUCCAGUUUUCGACCCCGAAGCCCUCCCAGCCCACCUGCUGUUUUCCAGAGCUGAGGGAGCUCGGUAAUGUCCCAAGUUCUCCAGAAGAACACCCAGGCUGUGAACCCACCUAGAUGAGACUGGGGACGGAGAGAGAGUAAAAGAAACCUAAGCAAACAAGAAAGGUCAAACAAGAUUCAGUGUGUUCAUGAAAUAAGAUGGACAGCGUGAUUCCAGUUGUCAUCGGCGCUAGGAGGCGACCGCUGGAGCUGUCAGCAAGGGGUCCCCGGGAAUUGAUGGGAAAGGACAGUAUCUAUUAUCAUACUUAAAAUUUUCUGGUCAGCGGAUUUCUGCUUUGCUUCCCUUCCUCCGCUGGUUCCUUAACCUGCUUUUCAUACUUCAUUUAGCACGUUUAAAUAAAAAGUCGAAGUGACUGUCUUUUAAACUGA